CCCGGCUGUUUGAGUCAGUGGAGUGUGCAACUCUUAAUCUCAGGGAUGUGAGUUCAAGCCACAUGUUGGGC
Molecule: transfer RNA, 71 nt
Filed under: Felis catus (domestic cat)
Lineage: Eukaryota; Metazoa; Chordata; Mammalia; Carnivora; Felidae
Description: tRNA-OTHER
Source: RNAcentral